RNAcentral lists this ribosomal RNA (284 nucleotides) under uncultured prokaryote. Its description in RNAcentral is "partial 16S ribosomal RNA". It matches the Rfam family "Bacterial small subunit ribosomal RNA", at positions 524 to 817 of the family's 1533-position model. The record is from RNAcentral.
UACGUAGGGGGCUAGCGUUAUCCGGAAUUACUGGGGCGUAAAGGGUGCGUAGGUGGUUUCUUAAGUCAGAGGUGAAAGGCUACGGCUCAACCGUAGUAAGCCUUUGAAACUGGGAAACUUGAGUGCAGGAGAGGAGAGUGGAAUUCCUAGUGUAGCGGUGAAAUGCGUAGAUAUUAGGAGGAACACCAGUUGCGAAGGCGGCUCUCUGGACUGUAACUGACACUGAGGCACGAAAGCGUGGGGAGCAAACAGGAUUAGAUACCCCCGUAGUCCCUGAGCGGGCU